Molecule: ribosomal RNA, 253 nt
Filed under: uncultured bacterium
Lineage: Bacteria
Description: partial 16S ribosomal RNA
Rfam family: Bacterial small subunit ribosomal RNA
Source: RNAcentral
GACAGAGGGUGCAAACGUUGUUCGGAAUUACUGGGCAUAAAGGGCACGUAGGUGGUUCGCUAAGUUACGUGUGAAAUCCCCCGGCUCAACCGGGGAAUUGCGCGUGAUACUGGCGGACUCGAGGCGGGUAGGGGUGAGCGGAACUCCAGGUGGAGCGGUGAAAUGCGUAGAUAUCGUUUGGAACGCCAACGGUGAAAACAGACAGCUGGGAGUGUGCUGACGCUGAGACACGAAAGCCAGGGGAGCGAACGGG